RNAcentral lists this ribosomal RNA (483 nucleotides) under uncultured bacterium. Its description in RNAcentral is "bacterial SSU rRNA". It matches the Rfam family "Bacterial small subunit ribosomal RNA", at positions 381 to 857 of the family's 1533-position model. The record is from RNAcentral.
GCCUGAUCCAGCCAUGCCGCGUGCGGGAAGAAGGCCUUCGGGUUGUAAACCGCUUUUGUCAGGGAAGAAACGCUCUGGGCUAAUACCCCGGAGUAAUGACGGUACCUGAAGAAUAAGCACCGGCUAACUACGUGCCAGCAGCCGCGGUAAUACGUAGGGUGCAAGCGUUAAUCGGAAUUACUGGGCGUAAAGCGUGCGCAGGCGGUUGUGCAAGACAGAUGUGAAAUCCCCGGGCUUAACCUGGGAACUGCAUUUGUGACUGCACGGCUGGAGUGCGGCAGAGGGGGAUGGAAUUCCGCGUGUAGCAGUGAAAUGCGUAGAUAUGCGGAGGAACACCGAUGGCGAAGGCAAUCCCCUGGGCCUGCACUGACGCUCAUGCACGAAAGCGUGGGGAGCAAACAGGAUUAGAUACCCUGGUAGUCCACGCCCUAAACGAUGUCAACUGGUUGUUGGAAGGGUUCCCUUUCAGUAACGAAGCUAACG